GCUUGAAUAGCAAAGAAAGUUAAUGCUUGAGAUUUAGGAUUUCACACCGAAGGUUCAAUUCCUUCUUUAAGCU
RNAcentral lists this transfer RNA (73 nucleotides) under Urasterias lincki. RNAcentral describes it as "tRNA-Leu". It matches the Rfam family "tRNA". Rfam says of the family: Transfer RNA (tRNA) molecules are approximately 80 nucleotides in length. The record is from RNAcentral. Lineage: Eukaryota; Metazoa; Echinodermata; Asteroidea; Forcipulatida; Asteriidae.